CCUACGGGAGGCAGCAGUGAGGAAUAUUGGUCAAUGGACGAGAGUCUGAACCAGCCAAGUAGCGUGAAGGAUGACUGCCCUAUGGGUUGUAAACUUCUUUUAUAUGGGAAUAAAAUGUUCCACGUGUGGGAUUUUGUAUGUACCAUAUGAAUAAGGAUCGGCUAACUCCGUGCCAGCAGCCGCGGUAAUACGGAGGAUCCGAGCGUUAUCCGGAUUUAUUGGGUUUAAAGGGAGCGUAGGUGGAUUGUUAAGUCAGUUGUGAAAGUUUGCGGCGCAACCGUAAAAUUGCAGUUGAAACUGGCAGUCUUGAGUAGAGUAGAGGUAGGCGGAAUUCGUGGUGUAGCGGUGAAAUGCUUAGAUAUCACGAAGAACUCCGAUUGCGAAGGCAGUUCACUGGACUGCAACUGACACUGAGGCUCGAAAGUGUGGGUAUCAAACAGGAUUAGAUACCCGGGUAGUC
Molecule: ribosomal RNA, 460 nt
Filed under: uncultured bacterium
Lineage: Bacteria
Description: partial 16S ribosomal RNA
Rfam family: Bacterial small subunit ribosomal RNA
Source: RNAcentral